Long non-coding RNA from Strongylocentrotus purpuratus (purple sea urchin), 1128 nucleotides. RefSeq lists it as uncharacterized. The transcript is spliced from 5 exons. The record is from RefSeq and is a predicted model, not a curated record. NCBI's taxonomy places the organism in Eukaryota, Metazoa, Echinodermata, Echinoidea, Camarodonta, Strongylocentrotidae.
UAUGUCAUUGACGAUGAUUCAAAGUUUGGAUAAAAAAUAAUCAAACAAUACGUUUUGUGGUCAUAUUUAUUACAGUUUUAGACAGUUUUAUCCACCAGCAAGCUGUAAACAUUAUAAACGUAAAUACAAAAAACUUUUGAAGGACCUAUAUUGAUGCUAAAAGUUUCAAUAUGGUUGUUAUAUUAUGAUAUUUUACAUGUAAUUGUUAUUUGUUUUACUUUUUAUUACAGCUUAAAUUAAAUCAUAAGACUUUUUAUAUUUGAUUAUUUGAUAGUCCCAUAUAAGGACCACCUCCUUUUCUGACUGCUACCAGGCUAAGCAAUCUUCCUUGUGUUUUUAACGAUAUUUAUACAUGUUUGUAAAUUGAUUUUUUUUUUUCCUUUCUUUCUGUGUUCAACUUUGUUAAUAAUUUUAAUUGUGUGGUACUUGGUAUACUGUUUUAUUUUACCCGUAUAUUCGUUCAUUGCUUGGCAAAAUAAAUUGAAUUGAAUUGAAUUGAACACUAUAUUUAAUUGCGGUGACUUUUCGGUUACGAGCAGAUGGUCAAAGCAGGCUUUGAUAUUCUAUAAAACUAGAAGCUAUCUAGACAGUACUUCAACAGAAAGCUGGAUAAAGACACUUCGUCACAUCUACGAGAAAUUAUAUCAUCAUCUCACCGAAGUCUACUCGAACACCGCAUCGAAAGCAGACUUUGAAAAUGGCGUCAAAAACCAUGAUUACUCUCUACUUUCUGAUUGCCUUGGCCGUGGCAGCAAGUGCGUUGAAUGUCGAAGAGAACAGACCCGGCAAGAGAAGCAUCAAGGAAGAUGAGAUCGACAUUUCUAAUGCGUUGAAUGUCGAGGAAAAUGACAGAAAGAGCGAUUGUAAAAACGUCGGUGGAUUAAUAGCGAAAAGACUAGGUUGUGAUGGGUAAGAGUAGCAUUGAGAAGUUCGAGAAGCAUACUAGCUGGAUCUUUUCCAUGUGGUCAGACGUCUUCUCUGUUUGUUGAGACUUUUGUCAACUUGAUGCGAGAAAAAAAAAACCAUCGGUGAUCAGUCAUCACUGACGUUAACAUUAGCCCAACCAAUUCAUAAUUUUGCCUCUAAAAUAUAUAAAUACAAUUUGAAUCUCGUUUCAAAUGUAAAGUA